UUAUACUUAAGCAAAUGCCUUUUUUUUUCUGAAAUUAAGUGAAAUUUAAUCGAGCUAAAAGUUAGAAAAUUCCAUACAUUCCAAAAAUCGAAAUAUAGGUUAAAAAUUGAAGAAUUGGGGGUUUCUUAACAUAAACAGUCUCCAUUAGAAGAAACUUGUUAUGUAAGAAAGCAUAUUAUUAAUUACUCCUUGUUAAAAGAAGUUUAACCUUUUUGGAGAAAGAAUUAGAAGCUUCCGAAGGUAGAAAUUGAGAGAGGUCUCCCAUGUAAUCCUCUUCUUCUACUGCUUCCGCCAUUGCUGUCGAUUCUCAGCUCGGUGCAGAUCAAACGUACAGACUUUUGAUUUAAUGUCUAUCGAAUAAUUGGUUCAAUUCCAAAACUCAUUCACCCUGCAAAUCUGUAGGCGAGAGUUGAGCAGAAAGAUUUCUCUGCAACGUGACUGUUUGGCUUUAAAGAAUUUGCGAAUAGCUUGACCUCCUUUAUUUAAAUUUAUUUUCGAUAACAG
RNAcentral lists this long non-coding RNA (504 nucleotides) under Olea europaea (common olive). Its description in RNAcentral is "long non-coding RNA (OEUR_LNC003150)". The record is from RNAcentral. Lineage: Eukaryota; Viridiplantae; Streptophyta; Magnoliopsida; Lamiales; Oleaceae.